Molecule: long non-coding RNA, 1044 nt
Organism: Nomascus leucogenys (northern white-cheeked gibbon)
Lineage: Eukaryota; Metazoa; Chordata; Mammalia; Primates; Hylobatidae
Exons: 4
Source: RefSeq, a predicted model, not a curated record
AGUCUCCGGGCUGCAUUCGCGGAAUACGACUGAUCCGCGGGUGACGGCUCUGUGAAUGGGCAAGCAAAGCCCUCUGACUCCGGGCCUCGUCGCUAGAUGCUGUGUGUUAAGCGCCUGCGCUGUACUAGGACCUGGCGUGCCGCCGUGGGCAAAAAGUGACGCUUUCCUGAAGCUCAAAGUCCAGGGGGGUCGACCAAGCGGACAGCGGAUGCGUCCUGCGCCGGUAGCCGGGCGACCGGUGGAAGAGCAGAGACCAGCGCGGGCGAUGCGGCGAGGCCACGCUUGCUGCGCCGCGGGGUGAUUGGGAGAAGCGCUUUCCUGCGGGGUGGAGGACGGGGAGCUUCCCUGAGGAGGUCCGGGAGUCUAGUGGGAACGGCCUCUUCGGGACGGUGUGCAGAGCCUGGCGUGCUCGCCGAGGUCUGACAGGCAGCCCGGGGCUAGGUCCUGUUGGAUUUGUUUUUCUAAGGAAAAUGGGAAGUCGUGGUAGGGUUUGAGCAAAGGAGUCCCGGGCAGUUUUAAAAGGAUCCCUGCAGCUGCCGGCUGGAGGGCGUGGGUGCGCGUAAGGCCGGAAUCACGGAGACCAGACCUUUCCUAUUGAUUUAGGCCUUGAAGGACAAGGAGGAGCUCACCAGAGAGGGAAGGUGCUUGGGCCUGAGGAGCAGCCUGGAGGAAGGUGAGCAGCGGAGUGAGCUCCAUGCAGAGGAUCCUGCUAGGAAUCCCGCUCCUCCAUGCCAUCCGUAAAAGAAGAACAGAACCUACAUGCAGGGCAGAGUGAGAACGGAGCCAGCCAGCGUGAAAUGGGACUUUCCAGAGCUUGGCGCAGAGCUCACAGCAGAUUGGCAACCUGAAGGCGGGAGUGAGUCAGCGUCCCUCAGUAGCAGGAAGUGAGUGGGAGCGGGGAAGGAGCCAUGCAGAUUCCAGACGCACCUCAGGUCCUGGUUGGUGUGCUUAGAAUUCAUCCCAAUUAUGUUUACAUGUCAUUCAUUCAUUCACUCAUUUUUAUUUUUAUUUUAUUUCGAUUUUUUCCUCUGUUUUCAUACACCA